This 689-nucleotide transfer RNA is filed under the name Epipremnum aureum. RNAcentral's name for it is "unspliced tRNA-Cys". The record is from RNAcentral. Lineage: Eukaryota; Viridiplantae; Streptophyta; Magnoliopsida; Alismatales; Araceae.
ACCGGUUUGUUUGGGCCAGACUCAGACCCAUCUUUUGAGGAAAAAGUAACAGUCUUUGCUUUUCUAGAACCUAUGGAUCAUUCUUAAAAUCAAGUAUUGACAAGGCCUGGGCCUUUACCUCUGUUUCUGUUGGGGAAGAAUUCGUCGACUUGGGUUUAUAUCAGCAGGAUAAGAAAUCUCGAGCUUUUUGUUGAUCAGGCGACACCCAGAUUUGAACUGGGGAUAAAGGAUUUGCAGUCCCCCGCCUUACCACUUGGCCAUGCCGCCAAAACAAUAAAAAAUGGAUAGAAAUUUUAAAUUCUAUUAUACUUUUUCCUAAAUUUUUCCUAAUUUUUGGGAGGAUUUUUGAGCCAUUUCUUCUAUUUCUUCUAUUUGAUUUUGAUCCCGAAUUACGUUGUACUUAUCCUUUUCUAAAGAAGAAUUCCUCUUUUUUAUUGGAUCUAGUUGAGAUCAUUUUCUUCAAUUAAUUGUAUCUUCAUACAUAUUUAUAUCAUUUAGAAACUUUCCUUUCUUUUCAAAAAAAAGUCAAAAGGGAAAAAGUGGAUUUAUGACUCAAAAAUUCAGGGCAAAUUGAACCAUUAACUAUACUAUUAAUUUCAUUAAUUUUGAAUUAAUGAACGAUUUUUUGAAAUUUUCAAUUAGAUUUCCUUAACUUAAUUUAAUGAAAAAAAAAAAAAAAAAAAAAAAAA